GACGAACGCUGGCGGCGUGCUUAACACAUGCAAGUCGAGCGGAAAGGCCCUGCUUUUGUGGGGUGCUCGAGUGGCGAAAGGGUGAGUAACACGUGAGUAACCUGCCCUUGACUUUGGGAUAACUUCAGGAAACUGGGGCUAAUACCGGAUAGGAGCUCCUGCUGCAUGGUGGGGGUUGGAAAGUUUCGGCGGUUGGGGAUGGACUCGCGGCUUAUCAGCUUGUUGGUGGGGUAGUGGCUUACCAAGGCUUUGACGGGUAGCCGGCCUGAGAGGGUGACCGGCCACAUUGGGACUGAGAUACGGCCCAGACACCUACGGGAGGCAGCAGUGGGGAAUAUUGCACAAUGGGCGGAAGCCUGAUGCAGCAACGCCGCGUGCGGGAUGACGGCCUUCGGGUUGUAAACCGCUUUCGCAUGUGACGAAGCGUGAGUGACGGUAAUGGGUAAAGAAGCACCGGCUAACUACGUG
Molecule: ribosomal RNA, 468 nt
Filed under: uncultured bacterium
Lineage: Bacteria
Description: partial 16S ribosomal RNA
Rfam family: Bacterial small subunit ribosomal RNA
Source: RNAcentral